AUUGGGCUCUCGGGAACUGGAAGGCACACUGUGUCCCAGGAGUCACGGGCUAUAACCUGAAGAACCCGGCACACGUUUCUCAGCUAAGCCAGGCUGACUCCAUGGUUUCCUGCAUGGCAUAAGUUGGAAAAUAUGAGGCUUAUCCUCAGUUUGCCCUGACUUACCUGGAGAACUUAACUGCUCAGUGGAUGUGAGCCAGACAGAGGACAAUAUUGCCCAUGGUGCCUGGACCACUGCUCAUCAAGAACAUUGUGUAGAAGAGGCCAGUGUGAUAGCCAGAGGGUUUCCAGAAACACAUCAACAGCCCUUUACUGAAGCAGCUGCCAGAGCCCUCAGGCACUUAGGUGGUGCCAGAAGGCUCUCUUGAGGAGACAGAGAGGCUGCCAGUGCUGCUGCUGAGGAAGCUGGAAGGGAAAGAUCCCAGGGCUCCUGCUCAGAGGAAUGUGACUGGCCAGUAGAAGGUCUAUUGGACACAAACAGCUCUCCCAUGAAGAGGAUGGCAAGUAAGAGACCAGAUCUGCUUGUCCCUAUGCGACUCCGAGUUCUAAGGAAUGGAGAGAAGAAAAACAUCAGACCCCUGGUGAUUGGCCCGGACAUCUCACCUGGAUGGAAAUCACA
RNAcentral lists this long non-coding RNA (618 nucleotides) under Mus musculus (house mouse). Its description in RNAcentral is "predicted gene, 74997". The record is from RNAcentral. Lineage: Eukaryota; Metazoa; Chordata; Mammalia; Rodentia; Muridae.